Non-coding RNA from Arachis ipaensis, 615 nucleotides. Lineage: Eukaryota; Viridiplantae; Streptophyta; Magnoliopsida; Fabales; Fabaceae. The record is from RefSeq and is a predicted model, not a curated record.
AUUAAAUGUUUGUUUUUUGCAAACAGGGUUCAUGAAAACAAAGUAGCAGAGAUGCCACUCAUUACAACCCGUGGUAUGUAUAGGCGACAAGGAAUGUGUACCCGCUUCAUGACAGUCAUCGAAUCUGUACUAAGCAGUUUGGGUGUUGACUUAUUGGUCAUACCAUCAAUCAAAGAACGCGAGAAGAUUUGGGUUUCAGUGUUUGGGUUUGAACCCUUUGAUCUGGAAACGAAAACUAGAACUGAAAAAAUGAAAAUUUUAGUUUGCCCUGACUCGGUUAUGCUGAAGAAAAACAUUAACAGGGUUGUUUGAGAAGAAGUUCCUAAUACUGAGAAGAACCAAUUCUAAUGCGAAUCCUGUGUGUCCCAAAUGAUAGUGACAUUGGAGAUGCUGAUGAUGAACAUGAUGAGCAAACACAUCUCCAAAAGAAUAAUAGUAAUAAUAAUAAUACUUGUUAUCUUUAAAUAAAAUCUCAGACGAUGGGAUUGUUUUAAUGUAAAAUUAAUGGUUAAAAGUUGUUGGAUAAUUUAAUAUGUUUGAUAAAAAUAUUAAGACAACUGCAUGUAUAAGAGAUUUUAUCUGUUUUCAAUAAUCGAAGUAACUUCUUAUGUUGUA